AUCUCCCUCUGUCGGCAGGCCUAACACAUGCAAGUCGAACGAACUCUUCGGAGUUAGUGGCGGAGGGGUGAGUAACACGUGGGAACGUGCCUUUAGGUUCGGAAUAACUCAGGGAAACUUAUGCUAAUACCGAAUGUGCUCUUCGGGGGAAAGAUUUAUCGCCUUUAGAGCGGCCCGCGUCUGGUUAGCUAGUUGGUGAGGUAAAGGCUCACCAAGGCGACGAUCAGUAGCUGGUCUGAGAGGAUGAUCAGCCACAUUGGGACUGAGACACGGCCCAAACUCCUACGGGAGGCAGCAGUGGGGGAUCUUGCGCAAUGGGCGAAAGCCUGACGCAGCCAUGCCGCGUGAAUUAUGAAGGUCUUAGGAUUGUAAAAUUCUUUCACCGGGGACGAUAAUGACGGUACCCGGAGAAGAAGCCCCGGCUAACUUCGUG
Molecule: ribosomal RNA, 433 nt
Filed under: uncultured bacterium
Lineage: Bacteria
Description: partial 16S ribosomal RNA
Rfam family: Bacterial small subunit ribosomal RNA
Source: RNAcentral